UGAAUUCAUCUCCGGGGGUAGAGCACUGUUUCGGCAAGGGGGUCAUCCCGACUUACCAACCCGAUGCAAACUGCGAAUACCGGAGAAUGUUAUCACGGGAGACACACGGCGGGUGCUAACGUCCGUCGUGAAGAGGGAAACAACCCAGACCGCCAGCUAAGGUCCCAAAGUCAUGGUUAAGUGGGAAACGAUGUGGGAAGGCCCAGACAGCCAGGAUGUUGGCUUAGAAGCAGCCAUCAUUUAAAGAAAGCGUAAUAGCUCACUGGUCGAGUCGGCCUGCGCGGAAGAUGUAACGGGGCUAAACCAUGCACCGAAGCUGCGGCAGCGACGCUUAUGCGUUGUUGGGUAGGGGAGCGUUCUGUAAGCCUGUGAAGGUGGCCUGUGAGGGUUGCUGGAGGUAUCAGAAGUGCGAAUGCUGACAUAAGUAACGAUAAAGCGGGUGAAAAGCCCGCUCGCCGGAAGACCAAGGGUUCCUGUCCAACGUUAAUCGGGGCAGGGUGAGUCGACCCCUAAGGCGAGGCCGAAAGGCGUAGUCGAUGGGAAACAGGUUAAUAUUCCUGUACUUGGUGUUACUGCGAAGGGGGGACGGAGAAGGCUAUGUUGGCCGGGCGACGGUUGUCCCGGUUUAAGCGUGUAGGCUGGUUUUCCAGGCAAAUCCGGAAAACCAAGGCUGAGGCGUGAUGACGAGGCACUACGGUGCUGAAGNNNNNNNGACAAAUGCCCUGCUUCCAGGAAAAGCCUCUAAGCAUCAGGUAACAUCAAAUCGUACCCCAAACCGACACAGGUGGUCAGGUAGAGAAUACCAAGGCGCUUGAGAGAACUCGGGUGAAGGAACUAGGCAAAAUGGUGCCGUAACUUCGGGAGAAGGCACGCUGAUAUGUAGGUGAAGCGACUUGCUCGUGGAGCUGAAAUCAGUCGAAGAUACCAGCUGGCUGCAACUGUUUAUUAAAAACACAGCACUGUGCAAACACGAAAGUGGACGUAUACGGUGUGACGCCUGCCCGGUGCCGGAAGGUUAAUUGAUGGGGUUAGCGGUAACGCGAAGCUCUUGAUCGAAGCCCCGGUAAACGGCGGCCGUAACUAUAACGGUCCUAAGGUAGCGAAAUUCCUUGUCGGGUAAGUUCCGACCUGCACGAAUGGCGUAAUGAUGGCCAGGCUGUCUCCACCCGAGACUCAGUGAAAUUGAACUCGCUGUGAAGAUGCAGUGUACCCGCGGCAAGACGGAAAGACCCCGUGAACCUUUACUAUAGCUUGACACUGAACAUUGAGCCUUGAUGUGUAGGAUAGGUGGGAGGCUUUGAAGUGUGGACGCCAGUCUGCAUGGAGCCGACCUUGAAAUACCACCCUUUAAUGUUUGAUGUUCUAACGUUGGCCCGUAAUCCGGGUUGCGGACAGUGUCUGGUGGGUAGUUUGACUGGGGCGGUCUCCUCCUAAAGAGUAACGGAGGAGCACGAAGGUUGGCUAAUCCUGGUCGGACAUCAGGAGGUUAGUGCAAUGGCAUAAGCCAGCUUGACUGCGAGCGUGACGGCGCGAGCAGGUGCGAAAGCAGGUCAUAGUGAUCCGGUGGUUCUGAAUGGAAGGGCCAUCGCUCAACGGAUAAAAGGUACUCCGGGGAUAACAGGCUGAUACCGCCCAAGAGUUCAUAUCGACGGCGGUGUUUGGCACCUCGAUGUCGGCUCAUCACAUCCUGGGGCUGAAGUAGGUCCCAAGGGUAUGGCUGUUCGCCAUUUAAAGUGGUACGCGAGCUGGGUUUAGAACGUCGUGAGACAGUUCGGUCCCUAUCUGCCGUGGGCGCUGGAGAACUGAGGGGGGCUGCUCCUAGUACGAGAGGACCGGAGUGGACGCAUCACUGGUGUUCGGGUUGUCAUGCCAAUGGCACUGCCCGGUAGCUAAAUGCGGAAGAGAUAAGUGCUGAAAGCAUCUAAGCACGAAACUUGCCCCGAGAUGAGUUCUCCCUGACUCCUUGAGAGUCCUGAAGGAACGUUGAAGACGACGACGUUGAUAGGCCGGGUGUGUAAGCGCAGCGAUGCGUUGAGCUAACCGGUACUAAUGAACCGUGAGGCUUAACCUU
This 2071-nucleotide ribosomal RNA is filed under the name Escherichia coli. RNAcentral describes it as "23S ribosomal RNA". It matches the Rfam family "Bacterial large subunit ribosomal RNA", at positions 885 to 2925 of the family's 2925-position model. The record is from RNAcentral. Lineage: Bacteria; Pseudomonadati; Pseudomonadota; Gammaproteobacteria; Enterobacterales; Enterobacteriaceae.